Molecule: transfer RNA, 92 nt
Filed under: Dyella mobilis
Lineage: Bacteria; Pseudomonadati; Pseudomonadota; Gammaproteobacteria; Lysobacterales; Rhodanobacteraceae
Description: tRNA-Ser
Source: RNAcentral
GAUGCGGAUGGAUCAUGGACAUCAGCGGCUCGAAGCCGUCAUAGGAAAUGCCGAUGGUGCCGACCUUGCCGUUCGACUCGGAAACGUUUUUC